Molecule: ribosomal RNA, 711 nt
Filed under: uncultured cyanobacterium
Lineage: Bacteria; Bacillati; Cyanobacteriota
Description: bacterial SSU rRNA
Rfam family: Bacterial small subunit ribosomal RNA
Source: RNAcentral
CGCACCUUUCGGGGUGAGUGGCGGACGGGUGAGUAACGCGUGAGAAUCUGCCUUUUGGUCGGGGACAACCACUGGAAACGGUGGCUAAUACCGGAUGUGCCUACGGGUAAAAGAUUUAUUGCCAGAAGAAGAGCUCGCGUCUGAUUAGCUAGUUGGUAGGGUAAAAGCCUACCAAGGCAUCGAUCAGUAGCUGGUCUGAGAGGAUGACCAGCCACACUGGGACUGAGACACGGCCCAGACUCCUACGGGAGGCAGCAGUGGGGAAUUUUCCGCAAUGGGCGAAAGCCUGACGGAGCAAGACCGCGUGAGGGAGGAAGGCUCUUGGGUUGUAAACCUCUUUUGUCAGGGAAGAAGAAAGUGACGGUACCUGACGAAUCAGCAUCGGCUAACUCCGUGCCAGCAGCCGCGGUAAUACGGAGGAUGCAAGCGUUAUCCGGAAUUAUUGGGCGUAAAGCGUCCGCAGGUGGCACUUCAAGUCUGUCGUCAAAGACCGGGGCUUAACCCUGGAAAGGCGAUGGAACCUGAAAGGCUAGAGAGAGGUAGGGGUAGAGGGAAUUCCCAGUGUAGCGGUGAAAUGCGUAGAGAUUGGGAAGAACAUCGGUGGCGAAAGCGCUCUACUGGACCUCAUCUGACACUCAGGGACGAAAGCUAGGGGAGCGAAUGGGAUUAGAUACCCCAGUAGUCCUAGCCGUAAACGAUGGAUACUAGGCG